This 1788-nucleotide long non-coding RNA is filed under the name Homo sapiens (human). Its description in RNAcentral is "HSALNT0085774". Lineage: Eukaryota; Metazoa; Chordata; Mammalia; Primates; Hominidae. The record is from RNAcentral.
AUAGGCUUGCAUGCUGAAGGGAAUGAUUCAUUUGAAGGGAGAAACAAGUGCAGACUGAAAGACAGCAAUUGCUGAAGCAAUAUACACAAGUAAGCUGGAAAGGAUGCAAUCUAACGCAGUGGAGAAGGGUUGGCUUCCGCUGAAGAGUUCAUCUGUGAUAAGAGGAGAGAGAACGAAGCAUGUGCUUAGCAAUAAAGGUUACAUAUAUUUGGGAUUUGUAAUUCUUUGUCCUCCAAGAGUUUGGAGAAGCUUGAGUUAAAUGAACAUUUUGUUUUCAUAAAUAUCCAAUGCAGUGAGGGGAAAAUACAAGCUGUUCUGGAGCGGUUGAAAGAAAGCAGAGAAUGUGGAGGAACAGAAGAAAACUAAUGCAAAGUCUUCACUGUAGUUUUGGAUGAGGACUACUGCUCAAGCACGACAAUUCUUAUGCCUCCACUGAAGACCCUGGGUGUUCAACACUGUUUCUGCACUCUCAUGGAUUGUAAAUCAAGCAUCUCCCAUCCUACAUGUCUUCUGAUAAUUUUUCAGAUAUUAGCUCCCAAAUAGUUGUUCUUACACAGCCAGUUGUUCUUACACAGCCAGUUCUUCUUAUUGGUCAGAUAUCCAAAGAAUCAAGUUGGCCCUAUGCAGAUAGCAGGGAACCUGUAUGCUGGGCAGUUCUCUCCCUUCUGGUACUCUGCCUCAGUCUCUUGGAAUUUCAAUUGGUAGGUUGAAGAUCUCAGUAUUCUGCUUGAGUGGCUCCUUCUUUUGCCACAAUUCAGAAAGUGUCCCACAAAGAGAGAGCUGAGGAAAAUCAUACCGUGUGUCUCAUUUGUUUUCCUUCUUUCAGGGAUAAUAUUUCUCAGCUUCCAGUUGCCAAAAUUGUAAAAACAGACUUGUUUUAUAUAUACAUCUUGCCCAAUUUUUCUACUUCAUUCUAGUUCUGGGCCAUUUCUGGUACCAGUUUCUCUGCCACAGCCAGAUGUGAAAGAAGAAACUUAAUUUAUGAUGGAUUAAAACAUACAUAUAAGUGUCUGUUUUCUUCACAAUUCCAUUCUGUUGCAUUUGUAUGCAUUAAUUUCAGAAAUUUGUUUGCUCACUGUUUAGUCACUGUUUAACAUCUCACUUAUUCACAUUCAUAUUUACAUUCAUAUUCAUGUUCAUUCUUUUAAAAGCUUUUUUUUUUCUUUUGUGCCUUCAUUCACUUUUUCAGGCACAUAAACAUACAGUCUAAGUACUUUGCUAAACUUAGCAAAGAGAAACUUCAAAACUUAAUGUAAUUUUCACAUCAUGCUUGAAGUGAUUAGCCAGCUUUCCAGGUAGGUUGUCAUAACCUACACUCAGGCUAGCCAGCAGCAGAUUUUUAACUUCAGGGAUAAAACCUAGAGAAUCACCUGAAAAUCUCCAGAAAAAUAUAUACAAAUUGCAUUUUUCUCAGUCUUUUUUUUUGUCACCACCAGCUUGUGGAAGGGUAAAUAACAAACAUAUUUAGGAGAAUAAAAAGAAUUAUAUAUUCAUGCUUCCUGUUACAACCUCCUUUGCUUACAUACCAAAGAGAAAUUAGGACAAUUACUAUUUACUUUUCUACUUCAUGCCUUAUUCUAUAACCAACAUAAAUCCUGAAAAUUUGCCUAUGAGCAUCUUUUAAAAUUAAAUAUACCAUUGUGCCCCAGUUAAUGAUUCUUUGCCACAAAAUUUAAAUAAUUAAAUUGAUAGCCCGCAAAUGUAUCAACUUGUUUGGCUGAGUUCAAAAUUUGAAGUAGCAGUCUGCAGCAAAUCUUUCAGCUUUAUGUAGUGCUCUUUCAGGUUAGG